GCCUCUGUAGCUCAGUCGGUAGAGCAGAGGACUGAAAAUCCUCGUGUCGGUGGUUCGAUUCCGCCCGGAGGCACCA
Molecule: transfer RNA, 76 nt
Filed under: Bacillota bacterium
Lineage: Bacteria; Bacillati; Bacillota
Also listed under: 5 other names
Description: tRNA-Phe
Rfam family: tRNA
About the family: Transfer RNA (tRNA) molecules are approximately 80 nucleotides in length.
Source: RNAcentral